Long non-coding RNA from Erigeron canadensis, 1874 nucleotides. RefSeq lists it as uncharacterized. Lineage: Eukaryota; Viridiplantae; Streptophyta; Magnoliopsida; Asterales; Asteraceae. The transcript is spliced from 2 exons. The record is from RefSeq and is a predicted model, not a curated record.
GAUGUAUUUAUAUUCUAAGAUGUAGACUAAUUUAUUUGCCUUGUGCAAAUGAAGUAUAUAUAACUCAAUUUCUAUGUUCAAGUAAUUCCUGUGUGAAGUUAUUGAUUAUGGUUAUUAAGCCUGAUGGACACCUUUAAGCACAUGUUUCAGUUAAUCAUCGAUUUGUCGACUCGUUGGUUUCAGGCCCCAAGAUUAAACACUCACACACACACACUAAAACUCACCUAUAUAUGUAUGUAUGAAUUUGCAGAAGCUAUAUGAAAGCUUCCUGGAACAGUGGAACUUCACUGUUAAGUAAGGGUGCUAUAUUGAAUACACUAAAUGCCUAUUAAUAGGCUACAGAGUUGAAAAAAAUGAGAAAUAAAACAACUAAAGAUUCUUGAAUUCUCCUAAGAAAUGGUAAACAUGACUUAGUCUUAUGUCUAAGGUGCACUCCAAAAUACUCGAUCAACUUACACCGACUCUUCAACAACUCAUGUACACAACAUAGGCUAAAUGACCCAUUUAGCCCUCAUCCAGAUCUGCAACCAGCUGACCAUUGACAAACUGCUAAGUGCUAACCCAUGACCCGCGUGACCCAUGAAUAUAGCCUAUUAACUCAAGUCAUGUGCAAGCAUAUGCUUAAAAGUUUGGUGCCUAUCAUUGUUGAGGCAUGACUAAGAAAAAAAAAAGGAACAUGGCUGCGACUAGGACAUGCACAUACAUGCCUAAUUGUAUGGUGGACAGCGUCAUUUGCUACAAUGUUCACUCUAUGACCCUCUUAGAGUAGGAGCCGCCAUCUUUGAGAAUUUGUGAUAUAUAAUAUUACUUUAUUGUCUUAACAAAAAAGUGAGUUUUUGUUUUAGUCUAUGUUCAUAAUGGAGCGAGAUCAUCAUGGGCAAUAGGGCAAUUAUAUGCAAUGAGUUAAUUCACCUGUAAUAUAAAAAUGUAACAUUUGAUCACAGGCCACUGCCUUAUUAGUGUGCAUUGUUGUUGUUUCUGUCUUUCUGGUAUUUUUAUGUUUUUUCUUCAUUGAUGAAAUCGAUAUACUAAGUGCAUAAAAGGGUGGUGGACAUUUUAUAUAUGUUUUUCCCACUCUAAUGGUCAGUUCCGUUGCUUUAAUUGUUGUGCUAUGAGCGUCUUGUCUAUAGAUGGUAUAGUGUCUCAGGUGGUUUGAUAUAUGAUACUUCUGAUCUCUUGGGCUAAAGCAUGUGGACAUUCUCCAAGAUGCCAAGGUGUUCCGUUGACAUAUGAUUAAGCUAACCAAAAUUUAGGCGGAGUCUAUACGAGGCACGUCUACAAAGUUUUCAGAGAGGAGCUUCGAUCGUUAUUUACAUUGGAAUGGUCAAGUUUAAUUUAUGGAAGCAUCAAGCAUAUAUAAGCCCGUAUGAGUGGUAACAGGUCUAGCGAUUAUAUGACUCCGUUGGAAUCACACCUUGACAAAGAAUUCAAUUCCAAGGUUCAUGUUUUGAAGAACCAAACAAAAUAAGAAGUGUGGCUAUAGUCGUUCUUUUUCAACCCCCCAUCUUCCAGUUUAAAUACUGAACUUGGAUAUUUAAAAAUAUAAGAAAUAUGAUUAUAAAGGAUAAUAAGGACCAAGAUGACCAACACAGCAAUAUCUACUGACAUACAACAAUAUACUCCUAGACUAAGAAUCGUAAUGCACCAUCGUGAAAUAUGAAGGGUUGCAAUUUGUAGCGUUGCAGGUGAAGAGAAGAUGCCUCCUGGAAAGCCACAAGUAGUUGAAGCCAUGUUUGUUUGUUGAGUUUGUUUCUUAUUUUCAUUUAUUAUCGGGUAUAUCAAUGGAAGUACAUGGUUUUUUCUUUCAAGUCUAAAGAUGGUAUUGUUGCCAUCCAAACAUUGCAGAAGCUCAAUUUCAAUCUUGUUAAUUUCAA